Molecule: long non-coding RNA, 384 nt
Organism: Oxyura jamaicensis (ruddy duck)
Lineage: Eukaryota; Metazoa; Chordata; Aves; Anseriformes; Anatidae
Exons: 3
Source: RefSeq, a predicted model, not a curated record
CAGGGAUAUACUGGUGCUGAAUAUUUUGAUAAAGAGAUUGCUACAACUGAACAGAAAUUAGGCUCUUUUUGUUAUCCUAUGGUUUGCUUUGAUACCUUUAACAUUAAAUGGUAAAUUAAUGUUGAAAUAAUAAACAAAACGCAGUACAGUUUAAGCACCCUGACCUAAAUCCCACCACUAAAGUGAUCUACACUACUGCUUAUAUCCCCAAAAAGGAAUGGAAGGGAGGUGGUGUGCACCACUGGUGGUGUGGCCCCAGAGCAGCAUGCUGCCAAGGGCUGGAAAAUCAAAUUAUGUCUUUUAAACACUGGAAUCAUCCAGCCUCAGGUUAAAUCACAGAUCUGAAAAAAAAAAAAAAAAAAGAUAUUUAUAUAUACUAUUCUG